UAGCCAUGGGCAGGUUGAAGGUUGGGUAACACUAACUGGAGGACCGAACCGACUAAUGUUGAAAAAUUAGCGGAUGACUUGUGGCUGGGGGUGAAAGGCCAAUCAAACCGGGAGAUAGCUGGUUCUCCCCGAAAGCUAUUUAGGUAGCGCCUCGUGAAUUCAUCUCCGGGGGUAGAGCACUGUUUCGGCAAGGGGGUCAUCCCGACUUACCAACCCGAUGCAAACUGCGAAUACCGGAGAAUGUUAUCACGGGAGACACACGGCGGGUGCUAACGUCCGUCGUGAAGAGGGAAACAACCCAGACCGCCAGCUAAGGUCCCAAAGUCAUGGUUAAGUGGGAAACGAUGUGGGAAGGCCCAGACAGCCAGGAUGUUGGCUUAGAAGCAGCCAUCAUUUAAAGAAAGCGUAAUAGCUCACUGGUCGAGUCGGCCUGCGCGGAAGAUGUAACGGGGCUAAACCAUGCACCGAAGCUGCGGCAGCGACACUAUGUGUUGUUGGGUAGGGGAGCGUUCUGUAAGCCUGUGAAGGUGGCCUGUGAGGGUUGCUGGAGGUAUCAGAAGUGCGAAUGCUGACAUAAGUAACGAUAAAGCGGGUGAAAAGCCCGCUCGCCGGAAGACCAAGGGUUCCUGUCCAACGUUAAUCGGGGCAGGGUGAGUCGACCCCUAAGGCGAGGCCGAAAGGCGUAGUCGAUGGGAAACAGGUUAAUAUUCCU
Molecule: ribosomal RNA, 712 nt
Filed under: Escherichia coli
Lineage: Bacteria; Pseudomonadati; Pseudomonadota; Gammaproteobacteria; Enterobacterales; Enterobacteriaceae
Description: partial 23S ribosomal RNA
Rfam family: Bacterial large subunit ribosomal RNA
Source: RNAcentral